Molecule: non-coding RNA, 521 nt
Filed under: Pongo abelii (Sumatran orangutan)
Lineage: Eukaryota; Metazoa; Chordata; Mammalia; Primates; Hominidae
Source: RNAcentral
GACGAGGCAAAUUUAUUACUUACGCAUAGAACAUUAGCUGUGCUGAAACUGGGAGCGCAAACAGCCCCUUGUUUUCUAAUUUAGAGACUUGCAUCUUUUCGACUCUCAACAUUAUCAAGACACUCUGCUACUACAGUAUCUUCUGGAGAGGGAAAGAAGAAACCAUGUCUAGACAAGGUGCUGGAAAGACCCAGGGAAGACAUAGGGAAAUCAUCUUUUGGGAACUUAUCUAAGAACUUCUUAUGAUACAUGAAGUCUGGGGGUAAGACCUGCAGUAAUUUCCUUUAAGAUACUACAGAAUUUCUAAGGACUUGAGGAAUAAUUGCACUCUUGAAACAGCCUAUGAAAAAAGAAGAGACUUGGGAAAUUUAACAGAAGUUCACUUUCCACCACUGUGCAAACUAAGGAAAAACUUACAGCAGUAAAUAGCUUCAGUUGGCAAAGCUAUUUUGGCUCAUAAGCAGCUAUCAGGCCUUGAUAAGGUCCACAAGUCUGCUGUUCUAAAAUUAAAGAAAAAAAAA